Molecule: ribosomal RNA, 353 nt
Filed under: uncultured bacterium
Lineage: Bacteria
Description: bacterial SSU rRNA
Rfam family: Bacterial small subunit ribosomal RNA
Source: RNAcentral
GGGCCCGCACAAGCGGUGGAGUAUGUGGUUUAAUUCGAUGCAACGCGAAGAACCUUACCAGGGUUUGACAUCCUGCGAAUUUCUGGGAAACCGGAAAGUGCCUUCGGGAGCGCAGUGACAGGUGGUGCAUGGCUGUCGUCAGCUCGUGUCGUGAGAUGUUGGGUUAAGUCCCGCAACGAGCGCAACCCACGUCUUUAGUUGCCAGCAUUUAGUUGGGCACUCUAGAGAGACCGCCGGUGAUAAACCGGAGGAAGGUGUGGAUGACGUCAAGUCAUCAUGCCCCUUACAUCCUGGGCUACACACGUACUACAAUGGCAAGUACAGACGGCCGCUAACCCGCGAGGGGGAGCUAA